GGGCUACACACGUGCUACAAUGGCGCGUACAGAGGGCUGCAAGCUAGCGAUAGUGAGCGAAUCCCAAAAAGCGCGUCGUAGUCCGGAUCGGAGUCUGCAACUCGACUCCGUGAAGUCGGAAUCGCUAGUAAUCGCGAAUCAGAAUGUCGCGGUGAAUACGUUCCCGGGCCUUGUACACACCGCCCGUCACACCAUGGGAGUGGGUUGCACCAGAAGUAGAUAGCUUAACCUUCGGGAGGGCGUUUACCACGGUGUGAUUCAUGACUGGGGUGAAGUCGUAACAAGGUAACCCUAGGGGAACCUGGGGUUGGAUCACCUCCUUACCUUAA
RNAcentral lists this ribosomal RNA (329 nucleotides) under Aeromonas salmonicida subsp. salmonicida. RNAcentral's name for it is "bacterial SSU rRNA". It matches the Rfam family "Bacterial small subunit ribosomal RNA", at positions 1211 to 1533 of the family's 1533-position model. The record is from RNAcentral. Lineage: Bacteria; Pseudomonadati; Pseudomonadota; Gammaproteobacteria; Aeromonadales; Aeromonadaceae.